Molecule: ribosomal RNA, 711 nt
Filed under: Arthrobacter sp. FRC_Z8
Lineage: Bacteria; Bacillati; Actinomycetota; Actinomycetes; Micrococcales; Micrococcaceae
Description: bacterial SSU rRNA
Rfam family: Bacterial small subunit ribosomal RNA
Source: RNAcentral
UCUAAUACCGGAUAUGACUGUCUGACGCAUGUCAGGUGGUGGAAAGCUUUUGUGGUUUUGGAUNGACUCGCGGCCUAUCAGCUUGUUUGGUGGGGUAAUGGCCUACCAAGGCGACGACGGGUAGCCGGCCUGAGAGGGUGACCGGCCACACUGGGACUGAGACACGGCCCAGACUCCUACGGGAGGCAGCAGUGGGGAAUAUUGCACAAUGGGCGCAAGCCUGAUGCAGCGACGCCGCGUGAGGGAUGACGGCCUUCGGGUUGUAAACCUCUUUCAGUAGGGAAGAAGCGAAAGUGACGGUACCUGCAGAAGAAGCGCCGGCUAACUACGUGCCAGCAGCCGCGGUAAUACGUAGGGCGCAAGCGUUAUCCGGAAUUAUUGGGCGUAAAGAGCUCGUAGGCGGUUUGUCGCGUCUGCUGUGAAAGACCGGGGCUCAACUCCGGUUCUGCAGUGGGUACGGGCAGACUAGAGUGCAGUAGGGGAGACUGGAAUUCCUGGUGUAGCGGUGAAAUGCGCAGAUAUCAGGAGGAACACCGAUGGCGAAGGCAGGUCUCUGGGCUGUAACUGACGCUGAGGAGCGAAAGCAUGGGGAGCGAACAGGAUUAGAUACCCUGGUAGUCCAUGCCGUAAACGUUGGGCACUAGGUGUGGGGGACAUUCCACGUUUUCCGCGCCGUAGCUAACGCAUUAAUGCCCCGCCUGGGANACGCCG